GUGUUGUAUGAACGGAGAGAAGUUUAGCACUCCCCUUGACAAGAAGGAAAAGGCCCUCCGGCCUGACAACACACAUAUAGUUAAAGCAUUGCCAUCUGCUUCAUGGCAUCUAACCAUUGUUUUUG
Molecule: small nuclear RNA, 125 nt
Organism: Ochotona princeps (American pika)
Lineage: Eukaryota; Metazoa; Chordata; Mammalia; Lagomorpha; Ochotonidae
Source: Ensembl